GAGAAAAACCAAAGUCCCUAAAGAUUUAUUCUGAUCACAGAAUCAUUACCACGACAAAUUUUAGAUAAUUAGCUCCUUUACACUAAGGAAAACAUAAAAACAAUUAGGUAUCAAAGACACCCCUUUAAACAAACGUACUUUUACAUAUAAGAAUUAGAAAAAAAAAUGAAAUGAAUGAUAUCACAAUCUAAAACGAUUUCGUUAAAGAAUAUGUCAUAAC
This 220-nucleotide long non-coding RNA is filed under the name Carica papaya (papaya). RNAcentral describes it as "long non-coding RNA (CPAP_LNC012527)". Lineage: Eukaryota; Viridiplantae; Streptophyta; Magnoliopsida; Brassicales; Caricaceae. The record is from RNAcentral.